Molecule: ribosomal RNA, 600 nt
Filed under: uncultured bacterium
Lineage: Bacteria
Description: bacterial SSU rRNA
Rfam family: Bacterial small subunit ribosomal RNA (bases 1-518)
Source: RNAcentral
CCUACGGGAGGCAGCAGUGGGGAAUUUUCCGCAAUGGGCGCAAGCCUGACGGAGCAAGACCGCGUGGGGGAGGAAGGUCUGUGGAUUGUAAACCCCUUUUGUCAAGGAAGAACACAAUGACGGUACUUGACGAAUCAGCAUCGGCUAACUCCGUGCCAGCAGCCGCGGUAAUACGGAGGAUGCAAGCGUUAUCCGGAAUGAUUGGGCGUAAAGCGUCCGCAGGUGGUUAUACAAGUCUGCUGUUAAAGUGCGGAGCUUAACUUCGUAAAGGCAGUGGAAACUGUAUGACUAGAGAGUGAUAGGGGCAGAGGGAAUUCCCAGUGUAGCGGUGAAAUGCGUAGAGAUUGGGAAGAACACCGGUGGCGAAAGCGCUCUGCUGGGUCAUAUCUGACACUGAGGGACGAAAGCUAGGGGAGCGAAAGGGAUUAGAUACCCCUGUAGUCCUAGCCGUAAACGAUGGAUACUAGGCGUUGUUACGUAUCGACCGACGAGUGCGACGCUACGACGUAGUAUCCGCCGUCGGUAGUACGCGUCGCAGAGUAGAACGUACAAGAAGUAGUAGACGNGAGACGAGCGACGACGACGACGACGGAGGAGGAG